AUAAUUUAUAAAACACACUUAAACCACUUGAUCUACACUGAUCUCAAUGCAACAGCUCAUUCAGGAGGGUGUCGAGGUGGCGUCUUCUGUAAGGAGAGGUUUAACAGGCGUCAUCGGCCAUAAAGGCAGGAUACACCCUGGACGGAGUGC
Long non-coding RNA from Tachysurus vachellii, 150 nucleotides. RefSeq lists it as uncharacterized. The transcript has 3 exons. The record is from RefSeq and is a predicted model, not a curated record. Lineage: Eukaryota; Metazoa; Chordata; Actinopteri; Siluriformes; Bagridae.